Long non-coding RNA from Pelobates fuscus (common spadefoot toad), 209 nucleotides. RefSeq lists it as uncharacterized. The record is from RefSeq and is a predicted model, not a curated record. NCBI's taxonomy places the organism in Eukaryota, Metazoa, Chordata, Amphibia, Anura, Pelobatidae. The transcript is spliced from 3 exons.
UGUGAGCGGCGUGUGGAACGUGGCGGACUGGGCACGGUACCGGGGAAAGAGCCAGGCGGACUGGGCACGGUACCGGGGAGAGAGAGACAGAAUGGUUAAUAUGGCGACCAAACGAGAGGCAAGAAGCAAUGGGUGAAGAAUGAAAUGGCAUCUUGGUGCUAGAGGUCACUGUUGUGAUGGCAUUCUCCUUCAAAAGCUAAAGAGGCAAC